This 497-nucleotide ribosomal RNA is filed under the name uncultured bacterium. RNAcentral's name for it is "partial 16S ribosomal RNA". It matches the Rfam family "Bacterial small subunit ribosomal RNA", at positions 28 to 507 of the family's 1533-position model. The record is from RNAcentral.
GAUGAACGCUGGCGGCGUGCCUAAUACAUGCAAGUCGAGCGAACGGACGAGAAGCUUGCUUCUCUGAUGUUAGCGGCGGACGGGUGAGUAACACGUGGAUAACCUACCUAUAAGACUGGGAUAACUUCGGGAAACCGGAGCUAAUACCGGAUAAUAUUUUGAACCGCAUGGUUCAAAAGUGAAAGACGGUCUUGCUGUCACUUAUAGAUGGAUCCGCGCUGCAUUAGCUAGUUGGUAAGGUAACGGCUUACCAAGGCAACGAUGCAUAGCCGAACUGAGAGGGGGAUCGGCCGCCUGUGAACUGGAACAGCGUCCUGGCUCCUGAGGGAAGCAGCAGUAGGGGAACGUCCGCAAUGGGCGAAAACCUUACGGAACCACCGCGCGUGAGUUGUGGAAGUCCUGCGAUCGGGAAACUCGGUUUUUAGUGAAAAACAUAUUUCUAAUGUACCGUGGCCAGCGUGACGGUAACUAAUCAAGAAGCCACGGCUAACUACGUG